Molecule: ribosomal RNA, 255 nt
Filed under: uncultured bacterium
Lineage: Bacteria
Description: partial 16S ribosomal RNA
Rfam family: Bacterial small subunit ribosomal RNA
Source: RNAcentral
UACGGGGGGAGCAAGCGUUGUUCGGAUUUACUGGGCGUAAAGGGCGGGUAGGCGGCCACCGCAAGUCGACUGUGAAAUCUCCGGGCUUAACCCGGAAAGGUCAGCCGAUACUGCGGGGCUAGAGUGCAGAAGGGGCAACUGGAAUUCUCGGUGUAGCGGUGAAAUGCGUAGAUAUCGAGAGGAACACCUGCGGCGAAGGCGGGUUGCUGGGCUGACACUGACGCUGAGUGCGCGAAAGCCAGGGGAGCAAACAGG